This 489-nucleotide ribosomal RNA is filed under the name uncultured bacterium. RNAcentral's name for it is "partial 16S ribosomal RNA". It matches the Rfam family "Bacterial small subunit ribosomal RNA", at positions 30 to 507 of the family's 1533-position model. The record is from RNAcentral.
UUGAACGCUGGCGGCAGGCCUAACCCAUGCAAGUCGAAUGGUAACAGGAAACAGCUUGCUGUUUCGCUGACGAGUGGCGGACGGGUGAGUAAUGUCUGGGAAACUGCCUGAUGGAGGGGGAUAACUACUGGAAACGGUAGCUAAUACCGCAUAACGUCGCAAGACCAAAGAGGGGGACCUUCGGGCCUCUUGCCAUCAGAUGUGCCCAGAUGGGAUUAGCUAGUAGGUGGGGUAACGGCUCACCUAGGCGACGAUCCCUAGCUGGUCUGAGAGGAUGACCAGCCACACUGGAACUGAGACACGGUCCAGACUCCUACGGGAGGCAGCAGUGGGGAAUAUUGCACAAAGGGCGCAAGCCUGAUGCAGCCAUGCCGCGUGUAUGAAGAAGGCCUUCGGGUUGUAAAGUACUUUCAGCGGGGGGGAAGGGAGUAAAGUUAAUACCUUUGCUCAUUGACGUUACCCGCAGAAGAAGCACCGGCUAACUCCGUG